CCGCCUCUUCCCCGUCGCAUUCCUCUCUCAGUCUCUCUGCCGCUCGCCCCGCGGUCGCCAUCGAGGGCUUGCCUCCCGCGUCGCCGCUUUCCCGUCGAGCUCGCGCGUCACGUCGGAGAAUGCCAGGCAGAGCGAUAGGAGGCCAAGCAGAGCGCUAGGCCGUGUGCGUCGUUUCCAUCGACUGUGCAUUGGGCGACUCCGACACCUCCGUCUCAUCCAUCCCAACCCGAUGAGGAGGCCGAGCCGCCACCUGCUGCCGGCCUUCGGGCCGUCUUGCUCGACCACGCCCAGGGCGCGCCGCCGGCGAGGCCUCCUGCUCCGACCCCGCAGAGGGCGCACAAACGACCGGGGCAGAGGAGGAAACCCAGGCGGAGCACGCCAUCUCCGUCGACCGGAGGAGCACCAGGUAUUUAACUCAAGUAGGCAAGGCCGUGAGAGGGAGAUAGAAGGAGAAGCAGAGGCAGAAGCAAGAGGAAGGAGAACCUCGAGGUGCUGCGGCGCUCGGGCAUUGGUCGACUACGCCGCCCCUUCGCUCUCGCGCCGCCAGGGCCCUCUUGCUCUCAGGACAAGCUUGGCUGAUUUCCUGGUCCUGCUACGAUUGGUUCUGGAUCUGACCGCACACCUCCCGUCUGUCGCCGCCGUUUGCUCGCUCGCCGCCAUCAGAAAGGGUGGUUGUGAGGGUUUGGUGCCAGGGUCAUUGCUGGGUCCGUGGCUGUUGUUCCUUUAGAUUUGGCCGUCCUUCCUCCUGCAUCUCCGACGAAGGUGCUCUUGUUCAUGGCCCACUCUGAGAGGUUGAUUGAUUGCCUUAACGCAGAAGGAGAGUCUCACUGCCACUGCUGGAGCACAUAAACCACCCUUUUGUCUCAGUUUCGAUUUGAAAACCACUCAUACUGUCCCAAAUAUGUCUCCGAAUAUGGAAGCUAUAUAUCACCAAGUACAAUUCCGAGUUUCCAGUGCAAGCAUAAAGACCUCAGUUUGUGUAUUCCAUCCUGUACAGAUAACUGGAGAUUUAUACUGUCAUUUGAUUAGCCCCUGGUGUGGAAUCAGAAGGUCACACAUUUGUUUUUGAGUUGAAUGGCUGCCCAGCUGUGUACGUAUGCACCAGAACAGAGCAGGGGAAUGAAGGGGACACCCAGGGAGUUAUCAUGGUCCUUGCAGUUGUCAUUCACAUGACUGUGCCAUUCACGUUUGUACAGGGUGAACUCUGUUAUGUUCGUCUAUUUACUCGGUGGUUACUAGAGAAUAUAUUGCAUGUGCCCUGUCUUGGUUGAUAGUGUAUCUUGCUCUUGCUUUCUUACGGUCGAGGAGAUGGAUAGAUAUAGAUUCUAGGCAUGUCCUUGGUCCUUGCAAAAGAGGUUUUUUUUUGCUGCCUUCAUUGCUUUAUUUGGUACCUUGCUCUUUCCACUGUCGAUCAGGAGACAAAUUUGGCAUCAACCCCUGUCCUUGCUCUUUGCAGAGGAGGAUUUUGUUCUUUUCUUCGAUGGAUGUACAUUUUGCUCAUCUGCUGACCAUUAUGUCUUUCCAACCUGCAGUAUUUCUCGGUUCGCUAUACAGGGAUGGAACUUGCAGAACACAUUAAUUUACCGGUAGAUGGCGUGUGUGUUGAACUCGUGUGUGGAUGCGCAACGGGGCAAGUCUGUGUGAUGUAAGGUGUGGACAGAAGAGCGACAAUAACUACGGGGUUGGUCAAAGAUUGAAAGAAAUCUCGUAUGUGUCUUCGGCUUCGACACUGUGUCUUCGGCUUCGACACUACGCAUAGGAAGUCGUUGCUGAUAAUCCAAUCUUUGAAAAGGUUAGUUCAAGGUUCAUAACGCAGGUUCAUGUGGCGCAUGAAAUGUUGAAGUCAAGACGAUCAGGUGGAUCUAUCAAAAAAAUAUGCUUCUGUGGAACUACAUAGGUUCUUUGUUGCCGCUGUGGCUUGAUUUUGUUGUAUGAAAAGUACAUUGUCUGUAUCAAAUUUGAUGUGGAUUGACGAACGGUUCUACUGACAAAAUCCCUUAUGGUUACUUUGCAUUUGCUA
RNA transcript from Triticum dicoccoides, 2020 nucleotides. RefSeq lists it as uncharacterized. The transcript is spliced from 6 exons. The record is from RefSeq and is a predicted model, not a curated record. NCBI's taxonomy places the organism in Eukaryota, Viridiplantae, Streptophyta, Magnoliopsida, Poales, Poaceae.